GUACGUACUGGCAUUGUUGGUUUCUCCCUUCUGACGAACCAUGAUGUCAUUUAUUUGGUGUUGUGGGGAAUCAGGACUGUUACUUUGAAAAAAUUAGGGUGUUUAAAGCAGGCUCACGCUUGAAUACAUUAGCAUGGAAUAAUGAAAUAGGACGUUUGAUUCUAUUUUGUUGGUUUCUAGGAUCGACGUAAUGAUUAAUAGGGAUAGUUGGGGGCAUUAGUAUUCAAUUGUCAGAGGUGAAAUUCUUGGAUUUAUUGAAGACUAACUACUGCGAAAGCAUUUGCCAAGGAUGUUUUCAUUAAUCAAGAACGAAAGUUAGGGGAUCGAAGACGAUCAGAUACCGUCGUAGUCUUAACCAUAAACUAUGCCGACUAGGGAUCGGAUGAUGUUAAUUUUUUAAAGACUCAUUCGGCGCCUUACG
This 421-nucleotide ribosomal RNA is filed under the name uncultured Glomeromycotina. RNAcentral describes it as "SSU rRNA". It matches the Rfam family "Eukaryotic small subunit ribosomal RNA", at positions 673 to 1092 of the family's 1831-position model. Lineage: Eukaryota; Fungi; Glomeromycota. The record is from RNAcentral.